AAAAAGCUCGUAGUUGGAUUUUGGUUAAGAGGGCGCGGUCGGCCGUUUGGUCUGUACUGCGUUGUCUUGACUUCCUGAUGAGGACAUGCUCUUGGUUAACGCUGAGACAUGGAGUCAUCGUGGUUACUUUGAAAAAAUUAGAGUGUUCAAAGCGGGCUUACGCUUGAAUAUAUUAGCAUGGAAUAACACUAUAGGACUCCUGUCCUAUCUCGUUGGUCUCGGGAUGGGAGUAAUGAUUAAGAGGAACAGUUGGGGGCAUUCGUAUUUCAUUGUCAGAGGUGAAAUUCUUGGAUUUAUGAAAGACGAACUUCUGCGAAAGCAUUUGCCAAGGAUGUUUUCAUUAAUCAAGAACGAAAGUUGGGGGCUCGAAGAUGAUUAGAUACCAUCCUAGUCUCAACCAUAAACGAUGCCGACUAGGGAUUGGUGGAUGUUAAUUGAUGACUUCACCAGCACCUUAUGAGAAAUCAAAGUUUUUGGGUUCCGGGGGGAGUAUGGUCGCAAGGCUGAAACUUAAAGGAAU
This 520-nucleotide ribosomal RNA is filed under the name uncultured marine eukaryote. RNAcentral describes it as "SSU rRNA". It matches the Rfam family "Eukaryotic small subunit ribosomal RNA", at positions 621 to 1153 of the family's 1831-position model. The record is from RNAcentral.